This 433-nucleotide ribosomal RNA is filed under the name uncultured bacterium. RNAcentral's name for it is "partial 16S ribosomal RNA". It matches the Rfam family "Bacterial small subunit ribosomal RNA", at positions 29 to 507 of the family's 1533-position model. The record is from RNAcentral.
AACGAACGCUGGCGGCAUGCCUAACACAUGCAAGUCGAACGAGACCUUCGGGUAUAGUGGCGCACGGGUGCGUAACGCGUGGGAAUCUGCCCUUCGGUUGGGAAUAACUGAGAGAAAUUUCAGCUAAUACCUUAUAAUGUCUUCGGACCAAAGAUUUAUCGCCGAGGGAUGAGCCCGCGUAGGAUUAGGUAGUUGGUGGGGUAAUGGCCUACCAAGCCGACGAUCCUUAGCUGGUCUGAGAGGAUGAUCCGCCACACUGGGACUGAGACACGGCCCAGACUCCUACGGGAUGCAGCAGUGGGGAAUAUUGGACAAUGGGCGAAAGGCUGAUCCAGCAAUGCCGCGUGAGUGCUGAAGGCCUUAGGGUUGUAAAGCUCGUUUAUCCGUGAUGAUAAUGACAGUACCGGGAGAAUAAGCGCCGGCUAACUCCGUG